RNAcentral lists this ribosomal RNA (253 nucleotides) under uncultured bacterium. RNAcentral describes it as "partial 16S ribosomal RNA". It matches the Rfam family "Bacterial small subunit ribosomal RNA", at positions 524 to 776 of the family's 1533-position model. The record is from RNAcentral.
UACGUAGGGGGCAAGCGUUGUCCGGAAUUAUUGGGCGUAAAGAGCGCGUAGGCGGUCCGAUAAGUCGGCUGUGAAAGUCAGGGGCUCAACCCUUGGAAGCCGGCCGAUACUGUCGGACUAGAGUCCGGAAGAGGCGAGUGGAAUUCCCGGUGUAGCGGUGAAAUGCGCAGAUAUCGGGAGGAACACCAAUGGCGAAGGCAGCUCGCUGGGACGGUACUGACGCUGAGGCGUGAAAGCGUGGGGAGCAAACAGG